RNAcentral lists this ribosomal RNA (475 nucleotides) under uncultured bacterium. RNAcentral describes it as "bacterial SSU rRNA". It matches the Rfam family "Bacterial small subunit ribosomal RNA", at positions 21 to 518 of the family's 1533-position model. The record is from RNAcentral.
GGCUCAGGACGAACGCUGGCGGCAUGCCUAACACAUGCAAGUCGAACGGGGGUAGCAAUACCCUAGUGGCGAACGGGUGAGUAACACAUAAGCAAUCUGCCCUUCACAGGGGGAUAACAGCGGGAAACUGCUGCUAAUACCGCAUAAGACCACGGUACCGCAUGGUACAGGGGUAAAAACGAAUCAGUGGUGAAGGAUGAGCUUAUGUCCCAUUAGCUAGUUGGUGAGAUAACAGCCCACCAAGGCGACGAUGGGUAGCCGACCUGAGAGGGUGAUCGGCCACACUGGAACUGAGACACGGUCCAGACUCCUACGGGAGGCAGCAGCGGGGAAUAUUGGGCAAUGGAGGAAACUCUCCACCCAGCAAUGCCGCGUGAGUGAAGAAGGUCUUCGGAUUGUAAAGCUCUUUGAUUGGGGACGAAUAAAUGACGGUACCCAAAGAACAAGCCCCGGCUAACUAUGUGCCAGCAGCCGC